CCUACGGGUGGCAGCAGUGGGGAAUCUUGCGCAAUGGGCGGAAGCCUGACGCAGCGACGCCGCGUGGGGGAUGACGGCCUUCGGGUUGUAAACCUCUUUCAGCAUUGACGAAGCCUUUCGGGGUGACGGUAGGUGCAGAAGAAGCGCCGGCUAACUACGUGCCAGCAGCCGCGGUAAUACGUAGGGCGCAAGCGUUGUCCGGAAUUAUUGGGCGUAAAGAGCUCGUAGGCGGUUUGUCGCGUCUGUCGUGAAAGCCCACGGCUUAACUGUGGGUCUGCGGUGGAUACGGGCAGACUUGAGGCAGGUAGGGGAGCAUGGAAUUCCCGGUGUAGCGGUGAAAUGCGCAGAUAUCGGGAGGAACACCGGUGGCGAAGGCGGUGCUCUGGGCCUGUUCUGACGCUGAGGAGCGAAAGCGUGGGGAGCGAACAGGAUUAGAUACC
RNAcentral lists this ribosomal RNA (440 nucleotides) under uncultured bacterium. RNAcentral's name for it is "bacterial SSU rRNA". It matches the Rfam family "Bacterial small subunit ribosomal RNA", at positions 338 to 786 of the family's 1533-position model. The record is from RNAcentral.